Long non-coding RNA from Tympanuchus pallidicinctus (lesser prairie-chicken), 4156 nucleotides. RefSeq lists it as uncharacterized. The record is from RefSeq and is a predicted model, not a curated record. The transcript has 3 exons. NCBI's taxonomy places the organism in Eukaryota, Metazoa, Chordata, Aves, Galliformes, Phasianidae.
GGAUAUAACCCUAUGAAUGGAGGCAUUGUCAUCUUAUACACAAAGAGUCUGGCGUUAUCUCUGUAAUAUCUGUAUGUAUAAUUCACAAGUUUGAUUCAUAUUUGACACAUCUAACAUAUUUGAUAUGAGACGUUUAUGGCAAAAAUGUGGAACUUUCUUCACAGCUUUUUGAAUGAGACUGCAGAUUUCUUUUUGACCUGUGUAAUAAUGUGUCUUUACUGGAAUAUGUGUGUGUACAGGACUAUUUAUGCAUAAUCUCUCUUCACACUGCGUCCUCAAAAGUCUACCUGUGGUUUUGAAGUCAGAAUGAAAGAUGAGUAAUAGGCUCUGCAGUCCUCAUAGUGAAAAUCUAUCCCUGUGCAAGCGACUAUAACAAGUUUAACUGGAAUAACUGCUCUCUACCCUGGAGUACAUUCUGAAAGGAAGAAAGUCUUACAAACUGUGAAAUUUUGAAGCUCUGCUACUGUCAUUACAGAGUACAGAAUGAAUUACAGGUGAGGUAAUGUCACUUACAGGUGUUUCUGCAAUUGUGGUGUUAUUUUAAAAUACAUCUCCAAAGAAAAGCAAUUUCCACUAAUCCACUCCAAAAGCUGCAGUAAUAAUGAAGCCUGAUUUCUCUUAAUGAAAGUCUUUAACUCUCAUUCAUUGUUAAAUUUUGACUUCUCACAGUGGAAAUAGGAACACCCUAGAAUAACAUGUCUACUUUUGUUUUAUAUGGUCAUAGAUAAAUAAUGCUGCAGAAUGAAAUCAAGCUACAUAAUUAUAAAAAAAAAAAAAAGUAAAAAAAAAAAAAAAGUGAAAAAAGAAAAGUCAGGUGAUAUAUAUCCACCUGAUUCCAAGUAGUGAACAUUGCCUUGAUGUUGCACGCACAUUCCAGAUACGCUUUAUUCUAGUAACUGUAUUAUUCAGUGUAUUUUGGACUGGAAUAGUUCUAGCAUGAGUGUGAAAUCAUCUCUUUAAAUCUAUUUAAAAGCCACAGGCAGACUUCUGUGAGGAUUCAGCAGAGCUUCUUGUAGAAAAAAUGCAUAGAAACCAUACGACCCUUGGACAUUACAUUUGUUUCAUACAUAUCUGUUCACAUCUUGUCUGUGUGCCCUACCUAAGUCAGAGCCCACUGAAGCCAAAAUUGCCAUGGACAUUAACAGAAGUAGGAUAACUUUUAAACUGAAAAGUUUAUAUUUCAUACAUUAAAAAAAAAAGUCCUUCAACAAUCAUGAAAGUGAGUUUCAAUUGGAAAAAUAAACUAGGGGAAUGUGUCUUUGAAAAUCCCAUUCUGAGCAACCAGUAAAUGAAAAAAGAUUUAAAAAACGUUUACUGGCAAUAAAAAAUAUAUUGUCAAUACCUAAAUAGCAAUAGUAAUGGGAAUAUAUGUGUAACAUGCAGCUGAUGAGAAUUAGGUAUGUCUAUGCAGCGAAAAGAUAUAGACUUUUCCAGUCUAUAUUUACUUCAGUAAAGUUAGAGAGUAAAUAUCUGAAUAUUUUAAAGAAUGGUAUAAAGUUUAAAAAUAAAAGAAUCCCAAUAAAAUCACUGAAAAGAAAAGAAGACUUCAUAGAAGCAAAAUCUAGUGGCAAAGUGGUAUAAUAGAGUUGUCAGUCAAUGUAAACAAUCUUACUAAGUAACAGUGAACAUUCCUAGUAAUAAGUACACACAGAAAAUAGAGUAAGUGAUCUAUGUGUCUGUAUCAGAUCUCUUUUAGGAAUGAAACAAAAAAUUACACAGCAAUGAAAAAAACGGAAUGUAAGAAAGCAGGCUAAGAACAGUAGAACAAUCAGAAUAAGCAAAAAAAAUUAGUUUCAAGGCAAAGUAAUAAUAAAACUUGUAUAAAUAAAUGGAAAGAUCAAGAAAGAAAAUAUUGUAUGGCACAGUAAAGACUACUGUAUGCAGGUCUUUUCCUUUGCAAAAGAAAAAAUACUGUGAUGUAUUUUAAGAUAGUACGUUUGAAGGGUGUACUAAUUUUAAUUGAAAAAGAGUAGGUUACAUGAAAUGUAGGUAAGUAAAAUGAAGGUGAAAGGUAAGGUGAAACCUUCUUCUCAUCACUGAUUUGUAGAGGUCUACCUUCUGUCUGAACUAAUUCUGGAUCUGCAAAUUCCAUAUGGAUUAUAUAACUGAUGAUAUCUAAGAAUAAGUCAAAUAAUAUAAAACUUGUUUUUAAGGAUGGGUAACUGUAGGAUUGGAAGAACAAUUUUCUUGUAAUCUAGAUCUCUUGGUCUUCCAUGAAGGCCAAUUAUUAGUUUAUAAGACACUAGCUAGCUUAUCAUGUCAGUGAUGGGAAUUUUCAUCCUAAGUGAGCUGACCACAAGUGGGGAAAAUAAACAAAUAAUAGAACUUGGUCUUUUCAUAUGUGAUGCUAUGUCAUAUGACAGUAAACAUUACUUAGUAGAUAAGUUUUCAAAAAAAUUCUGUUAAUAUUUUCUGAAUAUAUUUAGAAUAAAAUAUAGAGAACAAAAUGAAGUAAUGUCUAUUUGAUGUGAUAAAAGUAGGAAUGAAAUUGUAAAAUCUUUGUUUGAAAAAGGAGACAGAAAAAAAGAAUAAUGUAUUUUUCUUAGAAGGAAAAAUGUCAUUUACAGUUUGAUGCUUUUAAACUGUGAACAGAUUUUGUCUUGUAUCUCACAUUUUAGGUUUAACAAUAUUCCAUUUGCUUGUAAACUAAUGCUUUGAGUUAUCUCAGGUAUUCAAACACAUGACAGAAUUCAUUUCUGAUCUUUGAACUCCAUCUGUCUGACCAGUCCUUUAUGUUUGCAGUAGUCCAUUUUAUGAAUAAUAAUCUAUCUUCCUUUUUAAAUAUGCUGCUUAGAACAAUUUGUGCAUCUAUAGUUGUCUCAUUUGACUACUAUAGUGUGAUAGAAAGUUGUCUGCUAAUAUCAUUUAAAUAUGCAGAAAACAUGUUCAAUUUGUGUAAUCAGUCUACAAUCCAGAAGAAUAACUGUACUAAAUUAAAAGGAACAGUUGUUAUUAUCACUAUUACUGUCACUAUUGCUACAUAUUAUAUACUAUAAAAUAUUAAAAAAUGGUCACCAUAAUCUUUAAUUUGGUUUGAACAUCAUUGCUAAUUUCCCCAAAGUAAUGAUAUUCAGUUUUAGGUCUACAAUCAGGAAACGCUUAUCUAUUUAGCAAAGCAUUUCUUGAGGAACGAACCAGCAAUUAAAUUCUACUGUAUGUACUAUAUUUUACUAUGUAGGUAUAAAAUUUACUUUAUAUACUCACCCAUUAUUCUCUGAAUGUAUGAACUUGGCUAAAUAUUUAAGGUAUUUCAAAUGCUGGAUCUAGAUAAAUGUUCUUAUACCCUUGUAUUAAAACUAGUCUAUUACUGAUUAUCAAAUAAGAAAAGAAUGACUGCCUUCCUCAGCUCCUAUGUAGUUGUAUAGCCAGCAGUCGUCACAUCCUUUUCUACGUAAGAAACAGUACUAUUUGUUCUUUUUCCCCACUGUCAUAAUGCUAUUCCUUAUUCUUCAUUUGCUUCCCCCUAGCAUUUUUUUUCUUGUUUUAAAGAGCCAAUUGAAAAGGAUCUCACUUGUAUUCAGUGGUUUGUAAUUGACACCUGAAUUAUGGUAUUAUUUUUAUAUUUUCCUUCACAAUUUCCUUAUAAUACUCUUAUAAUACUCUUUUAUCUUAUUAUUUAUUUUUUUCUAUAGCACAUAGUAACUCUUCCAGGGAAACAGUUUCUCUUCUUGUCCAUUUCCUCUCAUGAUACUUGCUUUGUAACAUCAUACUGAUAUGAUACAGAGAUCAUUUGAUAGCUAUCGUUUAUUAAAGACAAUAACUAUGUCUACAAACUAGACUAAACCUCUAAAUAGGGCCACUUGAUCUUGGUUUCAGCUUACGAAAUGAAGAUCAAAGUACUAUUAGCCCAAAUAAUGGAGAGUUUCUUUAUGGUCAGUGAAGAGUGAAGUAAACCUAGAUAAAGAAGGAAGGUUGAGAUGAGAUAAAAAAUUGAUGAGGAUUAAAAGAUUUGAGGUGAAGAUGGAAAGACAGGAACUAUGAUCUCAAAUGCCUUCUUUUGGAAACCAGAGGAAAAAAGUAAGCAUUUUCUGACAAUUGUUUUCUUUGUAGUGAUGAAUAGUAAGUCAGAUGAUACUGUUGCCAUUUUUACUGGUGGUGAGUUGUUUACUGUUCAAAAACUAUGGUAGAGCCCCAUAGAUAUUAAAUCAUGGGUUCU